This 401-nucleotide ribosomal RNA is filed under the name uncultured bacterium. RNAcentral describes it as "bacterial SSU rRNA". It matches the Rfam family "Bacterial small subunit ribosomal RNA", at positions 357 to 775 of the family's 1533-position model. The record is from RNAcentral.
GGGAAUAUUGCACAAUGGGGGAAACCCUGAUGCAGGGACGCCGCGUGAGUGAAGAAGUAUCUCGGUACGUAAAGCUCUAUCAGCAGGGAAGAAAAUGACGGUACCUGACUAAGAAGCCCCGGCUAACUACGUGCCAGCAGCCGCGGUAAUACGUAGGGGGCAAGCGUUAUCCGGAAUCACUGGGUGUAAAGGGAGCGUAGACGGCUGAGCAAGCCUGAAGUGAAAGGCGGGGGCCCAACCCCCGGACUGCUUUGGGAACUGUACGUCUGGAGUGCAGGAGAGGUAAGUGGAAUUCCUAGUGUAGCGGUGAAAUGCGUAGAUAUUAGGAGGAACACCAGUGGCGAAGGCGGCUUACUGGACUGUAACUGACGUUGAGGCUCGAAAGCGUGGGGAGCAAACAG